Molecule: long non-coding RNA, 13090 nt
Filed under: Ananas comosus (pineapple)
Lineage: Eukaryota; Viridiplantae; Streptophyta; Magnoliopsida; Poales; Bromeliaceae
Description: long non-coding RNA (ACOM_LNC010965)
Source: RNAcentral
AUGUAUAUAUAUAUAUAUAUAUAUAUAUAGAGAGAGAGAGAGAGAGAGAGAGAGAGAGAGAGAGAGAGAGAGAGAGAGAGUUGUGCUUCUAUACUAUCAAUAGUAUAGAAGCUCCUAUACUAUAGUGUUUUAAACCGUUGGAUGCUCUUUGAGAUCUGUGCACAGGUUUGGGGAUUAAGUGGGAUGAAGUGGGAUGCAGCAUAUAACACCGUUAACAGAAAAAUAAAAGAGAAGAGAGAAACCCACUUCAAACCUUAGAGUAUAUGACGGCUGCUUUAAUAAUCACGUCUAAUACUCUAUUCAUAAUCAACUCGUUCUCGCGCAAUAAUUUGGGAAAGAAUGAUGAUCACAUCAUCCUAGUAAUAUCCAUGUCUUUAGCACUUCAGAUUUUUUUUUUCUUCUUUGAAGAUCAGCGACAACGCACCGCUUCGUUAUUUCCAUUAAAAGAUAAUUUUGUUAAUGAAAUGGAAUCAACUAGAAUUCGAACUCGGUCUCGUACUAACUUCACCGAAAUCUUUUGCCCACUUUGCUUAAGAAUAGUCGGCCGUAUCCUUCAGAUAUUUCUUCAGUUGAAAAUUUAUUUUUGUUUUAACUACCAUUAAGGAGGUAGGGGACCAAUAGGGUGACACGUUGUCCAGCCCCAAUGACCAUCCUUACUCCUCUCUAAUCUCUCCUCUCCUCAUCUUCUCUCUCUCAUAUAUAUAUAUACUUAUUACAUUUAAAUGCCUUGAUCUAUUUAAAAUGUUAAAUCAAGUUAAAUUAUAAAAUUUAAUUAUUUAACCGUCCGGUAGUCACAUUGAUUUCCAUUAUUAAUCGUCCGAAAUUUAUAGAACUGUUUCAAUCUAUCAAACAUCUAACAAGCGAAUUAAUUGACACUAAUCAAAUUUAUGUAAUAAGUUAAGUAAUUAUAAUAUAAUAUAAAACGGUGGUGUAGUAGAGUAUUACAGGUAGAGCUGAAGGGAGUCGACGUAAUAAAAUCUAACAUGAAAUGCAAUUAAUAUCACGUUAAAAUAUCUACUGUAUAAAUAAAAGAACGCAUUAAUUUAGGAGUAUUUAGAAAUAAUACGGAUUGGAUGUGUGGCUGUGCUAUAAUAUUAUAUUUAUAUAUAUAUAGAAGAUACGUAUAUUAUAUAUAUAUAUAUAUAAAAUAUUAAUUUUAUUAACAAUUUUUUAUACACUUAAUUGUCUUACUAUUUAGUUGAUUUUUAUAAAAAUUUCAUUUUGAUGCGAGAUUUAUUCAAAUCCUUUUUCAUAACAUAUCUUUAUAAAAGUAAAUGAUGUAUAAUAUUUUGCGUACAUAUUACACAAUUUGAAAUGACUGUUAAUUUAAAUAAGAUGUAACAACUAUUAAAUAUUUUUCAUAUAUCUUUUAUUUAAUUCUAACUAAUAAAGAGUAAGCUAUAUAGAUAUAGAUGAAGUAAAAGAAUAAAAGUUAUUAUAACAAUAAAUUUUUAAAAGUAUCCGUGAUCGGGGCGUAUUUACUAGUUAUUUAAUUAAGCGCAUCCUGAAGAAUUUCGGUACAAGAUACUUGUUUUUUUUUGUCUUUUUUGGAUAUUUGCGCUUUAUCCCUAAUGUCUUAUCCAUGUGCCCGCGGGUGUGCAUUAAUUAGUAAUUGAGUUAAAAAUAAAAUAAAAUAAAAUAAAAUAAACAUAGAAAGGAGAGAUGCGGGAAAAGAGAGAUGAGAGAUUCACGAUGCUCAUAUCGUUACUCAAACACAUACAAAUUAAAGUAGAGUGUUAUGAGCCAAGAAUGGGAGUGAAAGUUUCGGGCGCGCUUGCGUCUUGUAUGUAGGUAGCGCUACAAUUAUGUAGUUAUGUCGACAUGGUUUUGAUCUAGUCCACGCGCAAGUUUGGCUUUGGGCUUGCGAUAAAACGAAGUAUAAAUAGUCAGUAUAAAAAUUUUCAUCUCUUUAAGUUCGACCUGCAGCAUUUGUAAAAAAAGUUAAAAUUUCACUUUACUAUUUUUAGCGAAAAAACUAAACCCAUCAAACUCUCUAGAAUUUUUUCGUUUAUUUGUUUUAUCAAAUACAAAUAUAUCGAUAAAAAAAUUGAAAAAAAAUUCGAUAAAAACUAUUCACAACGUUUACUUUUGACCCAAAUGGAGUUUUUAUAUUUGCUUUUUUUAAAAAAAAAUUCUUUAAGCUCGAUGACUACUCGACCAUACAACUUAGCUUGAAAUUGCCGAAAUUGCGAAGAUUGCGUUAACUCGUGUAGGUGAGAAAGUAUUAAUGAAGAAAUAUUCGUAUUUUCCGUAUAUAUAGAUUGCGUUUCGCAUAUCGCAGAUGGAUCGUACUGAAUAAAUACUUUGCUGCGGCUCCACCGUGGAGAAAAACUAUCCUGUAAGUUUUUUUCCUCAAACUCCAUUUAUCUAAUAUGCCGCGUUGAUAGAAUCUCAGACAAACUAAGCCAUACGUCAUUUUCAAAGCAAGAAUUUUGUCUGAGCCAGUUGUACAAUACAAUUCACCCCAUCUCAACCCACUUUCUUAACAAAGUAUAUAAGAGAUCUAAUAAAUAAAAAAUCUUAUUAAAUAUACACUCUGAAAAUGUAUUCCAUAAGCAAAAUGAGGAACUAUGAAAUUGUUUACUGCCUAGUAAUGGAUUUCAAUCUAUAUAAUAUAUUUUUUACGGUAAAGACCUUUUAAAAUGGUCUGUAGGCCCAUAAUUUUAGAUAAAUUUGCACACCCAAUUAAAGUAUUGAUUAUUAAAACUUAGGCUAAAAUUAUGAUGAAAAAGCCCUCGCGACAUUAGUCGGCCUCUCCUUAAUUAGCUCCGCAUAGAAAAUUGCAUUAAUUAUCGUUUACACUUUGGCCAUCAUUUCCAUAAUAAGAUGCUAUAAAGUGAAAAAUACGAAUUAGAUUCUAAAACUUCACUAAAAUAAGCGUGCACGCAUGUUCGAUACAUAUUUAGCAUAUAUUAAUUGCAAUCGCAGAAAAAAUAGAUAAAAUCAGAUAAAAGAAUCUCUUAUUUUGUUAAUUAACUAGCAAAACCGAUAUUAAUUGAUGAAAAUUUAUUUAAUUAUAUGAUUUUACUAUAUUUUAUAUUUUACAAAAAAUAAUCAUCUCGACCACUAUUACAUCUAAUUUGAGAUAAUGACACAAGUUGAGAAUGACUCUGCGCUAUUUGAUCGUAAUUUUAAUACAGAAAAUAGUUAAGAUAUGGGCUAAAUUACAAGAGCUUAUUAUAAUAGUCCGAAAAAUAAAUAGAGGAGAGACUUGGUGACAAAAUGUGAGCCAACCUUCUCAUUCACCAUCCACUUCUGGUGUACGCACACGUGACAUAAUAAGAAACGUCGUUGAGUGACCUCCUGAUUAAAUAUAAAAUAAUAUUUAGAACACGUUACUCCAUAAAUCACUAUUUUCAAUAGCUUCUAAGGUUUAGAGUACAACGGCUUGUUCAACAGCAGUAAGUCAGAGCAGGAGGUCCUGAGUAAGAGUCAUGCCAGACCUAACAUAUAAGUUUCCUCUUCAUUAAUUCAAGCUCAACAUCUCAUUGGCACGAUAAAAAGCUAACCAGACAGUGAGAGGGAGUGUUUAAAUAUAAUAAAUGUUUAAAUAGCGUCCUCAUAAUAAACUUAAAACUUUUAGAGAACAAACGGUUGUUUCAUAGCAGCUGCCAGCAAAAAUUUUUCAGCAUCUUCUACCAGUUACCGACAUGUCUCUGGUUACAGUAAUGUGAUUUCAAUAUAGCCCUUUCUUCCUUAGAAAAGCAUAAACAUCUUAACAAUAUCUAAUUGACAAGUACACGUCAGUACAGUCGCGUUUGAUAGGUCUUAUUUCCACUGCGUUGCGAGGCUGUGGCCCGCUCGUGCUCGAGAGAAGAGAGGAAGAAAGAAAGAGAGAAAGAGCGCAUGGGGCCUACUGCGCGGGAGAGUAAGAGAGACUAGAGGAGAGACCUCUUCUCUCAGCAACUCGUCUGCUUUCUCUCGUCGCCCCUCUGCCCUCUCCCCACGCCCAGCCUCCCCCCACCCCCCCCCAACACCCCCCACCGCCCUGGGCACCCCUAACCCCCCCCCCCCGCCCCCCCCGGCUCUCUCUCGGUCUCUCGACCUCCCGCAGUCCAGCCCCUCAGCCAACGCGCCACUCCUCUCUCUCACCCCGCACGAGCCGUACCCAAGCAGCCCCCGCCCAUCACCGCGACCCGCGCCCCCGCUCUCUCUCGCCCUCCCGUUAACAGCCUCUCCACUCUCUACCUUCCCUCCAUCUCUCUCCCUCUUUCGCGAUGCACUUCUCUGCUCGGCCGCGCCGACGGCUGGAGCGGGGCACGCUGCGGGCGCGCCUGCGCAGCACAGUCGACGCGUUCGCCGGCUCGCGCAGGUGCGUUACGCAUGGCCUAGCAGGACGCCGCGCGAGUACGCGAGUCCGAGCGGCGCGAGCGGCUGAUCCGAUGUGGGAGGCGAGCAACGUUUUUUUGUUCUUUCCCCUCUUCUCAUUCUUUUUUUUUUUUAUAUAUAUAAUCAUAUAUAUUAGCAGUGGCUUGCAGUCUCUUCAGGAGCACGAGCCGCUCUUCGCUUCUCUUGAGGCCAAUUGUUUCUGAUGAUUUUGUGAAUGUUUUUUCGAAUCGACGAUCGGCUAACCGUUAAACUUGUAGUCUAUUUGCGUAUACAAUUGUUUCUAGAAAAUAAUAUUUUGCGGAUUUCGAUAUCAUUUACCUUAAGUGAUCGAAAGGAAUCAAAAUCUUCAUUAAUUUUAAUGGUAUUAUUCUGCCGUUCAAGUAACUGGUAGUUUAUUUAUAGUAUUCCAAAUCAAUGAAAUUUGAUAGACAAAUUCUUAUACUAUUCUACUAAUAAGAUCUAUUAUUCGAUACGAAAAUUUUCAGUGGCUAUAGUCAGGUUUUUUCACUUUUAUAGAAUUUUAUUUUCAGGUUUCCGGCGUAUAUAUAAUUAUUGAUUUGAAUACCUUCGAUUGCUAGGUCUAAAUGAAUACGAAAAAUCCGCAAAAAGUAUUUUCUAAAACGUUAAAACACGCUAGAUCAAGUUUUAAACGGAGCCAUCGUCGAUCAAACCCAUUUCAUCGAAAAUGUACUCAGGAGCACGGAGAUCCGGUCCGUGCUCCGUAGCAGCACAGCAGCCCAUACUCUAAUAUAUAUAUAUAUAAAUAUAUAUAUAAUAUAUUAUAAAUAUACUAUAGUAACAGUAUAUAUAUAUUAUAUAUAUUAUAAUAUAUAGUAUAAAUACUAUAUAUAAUGAUAAGGUGAGCAGGCGGUUUCUUUCUUUCCUCUCUUUUUUUUUUAUAUUAUAAUAGUGUUAUUAUUAGUAUUAUAUAGACGCACUCCUCCUUUUUUACCAUCCGAAUCGCUGCUCUGUGUGCUUUUUAUUUUUUUGCUCGUCUGUGACUGCGCGCGCGCAUUCUCCGCCUGCUCUUAUCGCGCCGCUUCCCAGCUGUUUUUUUUCCUUUGUUUUAUAUAUUAUUAUUUAUUUAUGUAAUUUUUUAUGAUGUAUUUGUAUAUUUAUAGUUUGAUGUAUAAUAUUUGUAUUCUUUUAUUAUAUAUACUAUAAAGGACAGUUGGGCUUUUUUCUCGCAUCGUCUCUAGUCUUUUUUUUGUAUAGUUAUAUAUAUAAUAUUAUAAAUUAUAUAUUAAGAUAAUAUAUUUAUUUUAAUUAUUUUUAUUUAUUUUAUAUAUAAUAAAGUAGUAUAUAAAAGAGAUGAGGAAAAAAAAAAAAAAACGGCCACUCCCUCGCCACAUGCGUGAUUCGCUGCAUCGCGUGCCGUGCCUUGCGACCUGCCGCCGCUGCUGCGCCGGCUGCGUUUUUUUUCUUUUGUUAUAUAGAGUAUAUAUAUAUAUUUAUAUUAUAUAAUAUAUAAUAUAUUAUAAUAAUAAAAAAGUAGAGUGUUAAAUUGCAAUUGUUUACCUCGGUCUCGUCUUUGAAUUUUGGCGAAUUCAGACGUUGCUGCGUUGAAAUUUUGUAAAAUGGACUCGUUAACCUCCGGAACUAUAGGCUCUAUUUUCGAUCAUCGUUACCUCUUCCCGUCGUUUUCCCCCGUCAAGCUCCGUUAACCGGAGAACUUACAAUAGAGGUAAAACAAAAUGAAAUAUAUGAGUAAGCAUAUUAAAUGUCGAUUUUAGAGUCUGGGGUUAAGUGAACUCGCCAAAAGUUCAGAGUAACAAUAUAUUUACACAAAUUUUUAUUAAAUUAUUUUUAUAUUCAUCUUUACACUAUUAAGCUCUCUCUCAUCUCGCCAGCGUCUCUCUCCUAAAAUGGGGUACCGAGUCCCCCCCUCACCUGUUAAUGCCCUCUCCCUCUCUCUCUCUCUCUCAUUUCUGGCAUCUCCUCUGGCCCCUAAUCUUCUCUCAUUAAUUCUCCAAUCCUCUCUUCUAAAACAGAAUUCCUCCUCUCUCUAUCUCCCCAACUCUCUACUCUCCCGUAAAAUAAAUCCCUCUCCCUCAAUAUCUCAUCGCGAAUACUAUCUCUCUCUUAAAAUAGAUUCUCUCUCCCAAUACCUCCCCACAAACUAUCUCUCUACUAAACAUACAUUUAAAAUAUACCUUCUCUUUCUCUCUCUAACCUCAAUCUCUAUAUCCUCCUUGUCUCGUCGCAAACCCAAGUUUGAGCACAAUAAUCUCAAUUUUUUAAUGUAAAAUUAAAUCUUUUUAUUUUUCUUGUCUUUCUUUAAUUAUUUUCUUAAUUUAUGGAAUAAAAAAUUACUAGGAGCGUGGGCGCGGCUCGCGGUGUGGCGUGGACACGCUGAGUGCGGUGGCGCAGCGUGCGCGUGGCGACACCCGCUCCUUGUUUUUUUUACACUUUCUAAUGGCCUCUCUUCAACUUUCACAUAUUUUUUUCGUCACUAUUAAAUUAAACUUUUUUGUUCUUUUUCCUCUCUUAAUUUUUAACAACAUCGGGUAAAAAUUAAGAUUAUUUAAAAAAAAAAGCUCAAAGUUAUAAAAAUAAAGGUUAAAGCACGUAAGUAAUAAAAUAUAUUAGUUUGACAAAUAUUAAAAAAAGAUUACUAAUAUCUUCGCAUGACGAAGCGGGUUGGGCCUCCACAGUGUCAAUUAAAGCUCGGUGAUUACACAGCAUCGAUAUAUUUGGUCAAGAUAAAGAAAUCAAAAAAAAAAAAAAUAAUAACAAAGUAUAUAUAUANNNNNNNNNNNNNNNNNNNNNNNNNUACCUCCUCCUCUCUCUCUCUCUGUUGUUAACAGAGAAUUAAAGAGAACGAGAAUCCGACUUCAACUAAGAAGGUAGGUAAAUAAGAGGAAAAAGGCAAAAAAAUGCGCCAUCGAGGUAAGCGACAUGACCUUGAAAUUGAGAAUAUACAAAUGUAUAUAAUAUAUAAGAGUAGCCUAUGUUGCUAUUAGGAGCAGAAGACCUAAAUGAGCUCCAAACCGUUUUCAAUGAUGGAGCUUUGAAUUGACAAUCAAUUCCGUCUUUACUUGAUCUAGCGUAUUAGAAACAUUCUAAAAAAUAAUUUGUGAGUUUUUGAUAUCAUUUACCUAGUUAUCGCAAAGAGUUUCAAAUCCACGAUUUUUAUAUGGUGAUGUAAAUAUCUACUAAGUUAACGGUAGUAGAUAAUAAUUCAAAUCAAUGAAUUUGAAUAAAAAUUUUUAUAACUCUUACUACAAAUUUAAUAUCUGUCAGAUCGAAAAUUGAUGCUAUAUCACCACUUAUUUGAGCUUUUAUUUUCAACCAGUUAUUUUGAAACCCUUUCCAAUUCUAGGUAAUACGAUAUUGAAACAAUACAAAAUUAUUUUCUAGAUAAUUCAAAUACGCUUAGUAUCACGUCUAAAGGAUCUAGAUCGUCAUUCGGAAGCUCCAUGACCGAAAAUGCUUAGAUUACGGAGGUCUCCAUAGGGCACACAAGACUACUCCUAUAAAUAAUAUAUAUAAGUUAUAUAUAUAUACAUAUAAUAUAUACUAUAUAUUAUAUAUAUGAGUAGAGCUAGAUACUUGCUAAAAGAUAUCACGCAAUGGAUACUUGUUGUUUUAGCACUUUGGAUGGAGAAGAUUGAGUUCGGAUGCAUGGUGGUAGGUCGUGAUAGGUGAAUAUGUUUAAUCCAGGAUUAAUAAUCAAAAAGUAGAGCCAAUGGUAAAAACAUAGACCACAAUAUCACUUGUGCCUUGUAAAAAGUAUCUAUGCCGUCACUAUAUAUAUAAUUAAUAUUAUAGAUGUUGUGCUUCAUAUCAUCAAUAAUAUAAGAACUCACUAUACUAUAGUGUUUAAACGCGUUGAUGCUCUUUGAGAUCUGUCAGCAGUUUUGGGGAUUAUGGCCAUGAAGUGGAUGCACAUAUAACACCUGUAACAGAAAAUAAAAAAGAAAAGAGAAACCCACUCAAACGUACUCUCUCUCUCGCUUGUGUUAAUAGAGAAUUAAAAGAGAAAGAGAAUCGCCACUUCAAACUUACUCUCAUCUCUCUGCUCUCCCCCCCACUUCCCCAAACCUUACAAUUUACGGUGUAAAAUAUCAAAUCAUAGUGAAAUUUUAUAGAAAAGUUUUAUAUAUUUACCUACAAAUUAAUAUCUCUAAUGAGAUUUGAUGCUAUAUCACCACUAUUUGGAGUUUUUAUUUUCAAACCGAUUGAUUUUGAACCCUUCAAUCGUAGUAAAUGAUAUUGAAAAAUCACAAUUAUUCCUAGAUAAUUCAACAUCUCAGAUCAGUCUAAAGAUCAGAUCGUCGAUUCGAAGCCUCAAUCACCAAAAAUGGUUUUGGAGCACGGAGGCUCCAACCGGAACACACAAACCUACCUAUAUAUAUAAUAAUAUAUAUAUAGAGAGAGAGAGAGAGAGAGAGCUUGUGCUCUAUAUAUCAAUUAGUAUCGAAGCUCCUAUACAUAGUUUUAAACCGGGAUGCCUCUUGAGUCUGUGGCACAAGGUUUGGGGAUAAUGGUAAGGGGAUGCAUCAUAUAACACGUUACAAAAAAAAAGAGAAAGAAAACCUCCUUCAAACCUACUCUCUCUCAUCUGUUGUUAACAGAGAAAUUAAAAGAAAAAGAAUCUCACUCAACCUUAUUCUCUCUUCUUUCUCUCCUCUCCCCCCUACCCCUACAUAAAAAAGAACCAUCCGAUUAAAAGUUAUUAAAAUAUUAAAUUCAACAAGCAUAAACAAACUAGAAGAACUUUAAAUAUUACACAAUAGAAAAAUAUUGUCAAUACAACCAUUGCAUCUGAACAUGUAGCUACAAAUAAUCUAUGUAAAAGAAAAAGAGUUAAAAAGGUGGAUUUGGCCCUCUAGGAAAUGGAAAAGAAAACAGCCGACACGACUGAAUUUUUGUGGCUCGAUACUUAACAUCCAGCUCAUGUUUGCUCGUUACCCCCGAACCCAGGUUAGUACAAGCAAAGCAAAUGAAUGAAAAGAGUUUGCUAACAAUAAUUACUAAGAUAGUUAGUUUACGUCAUAACAUUUUUGGGCACAAAGGAAACACCUUAUUUUCUUUUAACCAAAUGUUAGCUCUUUGACGUUACAAAUUUACCAGAACUUAACAUCCACAUAUAUAAUUCAUCUAAACAUUACAUUUCUAAAAACAUCAUAUAGAGGGUAUUUUAUUUUUUUUAUAACAAUUAUAAAGAAUUGAGUAAGACUCCAAACUUACUAAUAAAAGAAAAAUAUAUAAAAAAUGGGUUUUCCAAACCUGCACAUUACAACAUAACAGAGAAAGAUAGAAAAAAUGAUCCCUAACUUGCACAACUUAAAUAACAAAAUAAUUAAGCUAGUCAAAAAAUCCAAAUAGAUGCCAAAAAAAUGUGGAAUAGAAUUUUAAUAUAUUGGAACUAGUAUUUGUACUGAUAUCGAUUAUAUAACGUAAAAUUAGAAUUUGAAUAAACUCUAUCUCUAACUAAUUUUUAAAUUAAAUUUGAGUUAUUAUUUCAAACAUAAUGAAUAAAAAAUAAGAGAAAAAAAAAAGCCCCAAACGAGUUUUUGUAUUUGGCGAUCGUAGGAAAAUACAUAGGGAAGUAGCGAAAUACAGAAACUGGGAAGUGGGGAAAACGCGGUUUCCACGUUUUAUUUGGUGGUUUCUGGGAGCCAAUCUGACCGUUUAUUCGAAAUAGGGCCCACACGUGUACAGUAGACAGAUUUUCUUAUAUUUUAGAAAAAAAACAGUAUCAUUUUAGGGAAGCGUGGCAUGUUAUACAUUUCAUUCAAUUAAAAAAAAAAAAUUCAAGUGUUAUUGUUAUGUUUUCAUAUUUUCUUAUUUUAAUAUUCUGUGAUUUAAAAUAUAUUAUUUUAGUAUUUUAUAGUUUUAUUCAUUUUUUCUUUUCGUUAUCUCAUUCGUUUAUUUUUUUCUUAAAUCAAUGAAAAAAUUAAAAGUAUAGAGUACUAAAAUAAAACUUCGGUAAAUCACAAAGUAUUACAAGUGAAUAUUUGAUAGACUGUAGGUCGGGUAUAUGAAGUUUUUCUCUAUUUGAUUUAAUGAAGAGUUAACGGAGGUGCUGACGGAAAGAGAAAAACGAAACCACAUGAUAAUAAAGUGACACACUUUAAAUUAUAAGAUAGUAAAGUGAGAAAGCGUGAAACCACAUAAAUGGUAUUUAAGAUUAUUUUUUCAAAAAAAAUAACUUAACGGUAAAUAUUAAAUAAUUAAAUUUUAAAUAAGCACUCUUUAGUUUUAACUUUGUCAUUGAUUUAACGAAAAAAAUUAGUGGAAUCAAUAAUAAAAAGAUAAAACAAAAGNAACAGCUCGGCGAUGCGACGUCGGCAACGAACGCUCUACCCAAGGUCCUCCUCCUCGCGUAUGGCUCCAGAGACAGAGAGGGAGGAAAUUUUAAUUAAGGAGGCAUGUACAACCCCCUAAUUAGAUAAGCAUGAAAUACAUGCAUGGGGGCACGUGGCAUUAUAUAUAUAUAAGGAUACUACAAUACGGGUUCGCUUCGACAAGCGGGACGGGUGUGUUCACAGUCCCUAGUGAGAUUGGAUCAAGACUUGCAUCAUCUACAGAUAGUUAGUGUUGGAUUAUAAUAGUAUAUAUAGUGGCAUAUAGCUGUAGAUUUAUUUCAUCUUUUCUUACUAUCCCUGCUUACAUCUGUAGACUUAGUGGGUGAGCCGUUGAGGUCGGUAGCGGUACCCAUUGAGGACUACUUCUUUUUGCAGUAGUUCUCACACCCAGUUGUGGAUCCUUUUUGCAAAGCCCUCUUUUUCGGCUGCUGCUGUCGUGGUGACUGAUCGUGGAAAUGGAGUCGCGAGCUAGAUCCCUUCCCGUUUUGCUGCUGAUCUAGAGUUAUACCAACUACAGGUAGUUGUAGUUCUUGGUUCUUUUAUGUACUGAUGUUAGUGCCUCGCUGGAGCGAGUGUUUUUGCACCAGGAUACUAUGUAUGUAAUUUGAACCGAUGUUAUUUAUAUAUGUUUUCUUUAGCAACUCUAUACUACUGGUUGUAGUGUUGUAUGAUUACAGGUACAGCUAUCGCUUCGUAUACAGGAAAAAUUUCUUUGUAUACGGCGAGUCUGUUAGCGUGCCCAGGGAAGUGAGUAAUCCGGGGCGUGACAUUGGCUCCCUUAUACUCAUAAGUUUUCGGCCCUUAGAUUUAUUCUAUUGAUCAUUUCCACAUGUUAGAUCAAACUAUUCAACCAACUACCCGCUCAACCCUAGGGGACCACUAUCAUUCUAAGUGGGGACCACCAUCAUCCUAACCAUACAUCCCAUCAAUCAACGAUUAAAAAUUUAUGAGUAUAAAGGGGUCUAUACUCAUAAGAGUAUAGUAGCCCCAACCGAGAGAGAGAGAGAGAGAGAGAGAGAGAGAGAGAGAGAGAGUAGGUCUUGUGUGCUAUUAGGAGCACGGAGCUCUCUGUGCUCCUGAGCCGUGUUCGAUGAUGAAAUUUUCGAAUCGAUGAUCGGCUCCGUUAGACUUGAUUUAGCGUAUUUGAAGUUUUUAAAAAGUAAUUUUUGCGAUUUUUUGAUAUCAUUUAUCUAACAAUCGAAAGAAUUCAAAAUCAAUAAUUUUUAAUGGUUGAUAUCUGUCGUUUUCAAGUUUAACGGUGUAGAAGUAUUCAAAUCAGAUGAAAUUUUGAUACAAAAUUCUUUAUACUAUCUACAAUAAGAUCAAUAUUUAUGAUCGAAAAUUUUAGUGUUAUAUCACCACUUUUUAUAUGAUUUUUAUUUUCAGCUGUUAAAAAUUAUUGAUUUUGAAUUCUUUCGAUUGCUAGGUAAAUGAUAUCGAAAAAUUGAAAAAAUUAUUUUCUAGAAACUUCAAAUACGCUAGAUCAAGCCUAACCGAGCCGAUCGUCGAUUCGGAAAUUCCAUCAUAAAAAACGACUCAGGAGCACGUAGGACUCCGUACUCCUGAGAGCACAGCAGCCCUACUCUAUAUAUAUAUAUAUAUAUAUAUAAUUUUAUUUAUAAAUAUAUAUUCAUUUAUUGUAUAUAGUAUUUUAGUUUAUAUGGAGAUAUUUUUAUAUAAUAUUUUAUUUAUAAUUUAUAAAUUUGUAAUUAUUUAAUAAUAUUUUUAAAUAUAUAACUCUUAUAUAUUAUGUACCAUGUUUAUUAUAAUUUUAAAUGUAUUUAAUCUAUAUAUAGAAAUUAUAAUAAUAAUAUAUAUAAUAUAUUAAUUAUUAUAUAUUAAUUAAAUAUAUAAUAAAAAAUAUAUUAAAUAGUUUUUUUAUUAUUUUUUUCUUUCAACCAAACAACUGUUACGAAAAACUUUUUCUUUUCCUAUAAACCAAAUACUAAACAACGUAAAAUUUUUUUUCCACCGAAAAUUUUUUUUCACCGAAAAUUUUUUUUUCCACAGUUUUACGUGGAACCAAACACACCCUAAACUUCAAAUAUUAUUUUUAUAGUUUUAUACUUUCUAAUUUUAUUACUUUGUGGUUUAAAGUGUACCGAGUUAGUAUCAUGUAAUUUUAUUUUUACUUUUUUAUUUAGUUUUUUUAUUAAUAUUUCGUUAAAUUAUUAUAUACAAAAAAACUUUAAAUACCCAACAUAGAUUUAUCGAAUAUUCACUUUAGUACCCUUUAAUAUUAAUUUUGUUACUGAUUUAAUAAAAAUAAUUAGUAAAAUCGAUAAUAAGAAGAUAAAAAUGAAACCAUAUGGCACUAAAUUGAUACACUUUAAACCACAAGAUACUAAAGUGAGAAAGUCUGAAAUCACAGAAGUGGUAUUUAAAAUGUUUUAUUUUUGUUUUCUCUCUUCCACCGUUAAAAAUCAAAAUUUUUAAAAUGUUGCUAU